GUUUAUUUGAGUUUUGCAUUCAAAAGAGCUUAAAAGGCCACGAUUUACGGUUGAACAAUAAAGGUAUUUACGAAAUUUGUUCAUGAAGCUCUAGAGAAAUUGACUGCAUGUGGUGUCUUUGUUGGAUUGCUGUCUGUUAGCAGCGUCUCUUUCACGAGCGUGUUCGUUUUCAUCGACGACAGAUAGAUAUUUUCUUCAUGAUUUUGUAGCUAAUCAUUUUCAGCCAGACGAGAAUUUUUGUGAAUGCUAUAUGGAGU
Paramuricea clavata is the source of this 257-nucleotide non-coding RNA. The record is from the annotation of a GenBank genome assembly. NCBI's taxonomy places the organism in Eukaryota, Metazoa, Cnidaria, Anthozoa, Malacalcyonacea, Plexauridae.